RNAcentral lists this unclassified non-coding RNA (246 nucleotides) under Glomus sp. RNAcentral describes it as "partial contains 5.8S ribosomal RNA and internal transcribed spacer 2". The stretch from base 1 to 65 matches the Rfam family "5.8S ribosomal RNA", at positions 84 to 154 of the family's 154-position model. The record is from RNAcentral. Lineage: Eukaryota; Fungi; Glomeromycota; Glomeromycetes; Glomerales; Glomeraceae.
GUGAAUCAUCGAAUCUUUGAACGCAAAUUGCACUCUCUUCGGAGAGUAUGCGUGUUUGAGUGUCAGCCUAAAAAAAAUUGACAUACUCUCUGUUUCCUGGUUACAUUCGUCGCACAUUGGGUCAUCUUAAACCUUUGGUUUUUAAGCUGCUUAAAAUUUUCUUUACGUUUCUAUGAACGUUUCUUAGAUUUACUUACAUGCUUAAGGUAUCGAUUUUUAUUAGACGUGGCCGUUGCAUCGGUUGAC